GGGUAACUCUCCCCUUUGAAGAAAACAAUUUGCAGCACCCACAAACUACUUCCAGUGGCUAUAGACUCGACUGUUUCUCCUGGUUUCAAUAUCCUGUUAAAAAGAGAAAGGAAAAGUGUCUAGUAGCUAGAGAAUCUGUUCAGAGCAGGAGUUGUCUUACAACGACAUAAACAGGGCUCUAGAACUAAAACCCUCCCUUGGAACCCAGAGGCACCACAACACCAGCGCAGCGAAAAUUCACAAGGUGUUUUUUUUGGGGGGGAGAGUUGAAGGGACGCAGAAACGCUCACCAGGCGAAAGAUGAACAUGCUGUGGUAUCUGUCUGCUCUGCAGCUGUUCCUGGCUCCAGCUCUCCUGGCACAAGGCGAGACCCAGGAGGCAGAUGGUUG
Molecule: long non-coding RNA, 389 nt
Filed under: Salmo salar (Atlantic salmon)
Lineage: Eukaryota; Metazoa; Chordata; Actinopteri; Salmoniformes; Salmonidae
Description: lncRNA (ENSSSAG00000082585.1)
Source: RNAcentral